CCCGGCAAGAAAAACCAAAGAUGGCGACCGGGUGAUGAACUGUCAAAAGCUCCCAUGGAACGCGGGUGGCCCACUGAGCUCUAUACUAACUGGAAUGGACUAGCACACAAAGAAAGUGACGCAGCUGGCAGCUCGGACUUAUUCCAGUCCGAAAGAAUCCCAUGAAAGAAUACUACGGCUACAUCAAGAUGGCUGGUGUAGCAGCAGAAGCCACCACAGAGGGUCAUGUGUGGACCUGAGGCAACAAAAGUUAAAUUUAUUUGGGAUUAAAAGUUAAAAGACAGUUGUGCAACCGGGUGAUAAUCUUGUAUUAAAGAAAGUUCUUAUGUAGCAAGCAAACGAUGAAGUAAAGGCUGCUAUUAAUUAUAUCAGAUGACUUUAGUUGCUGCAAGAGUGUUGAACAUGUUCAUCUACUGAAGCUGCAAUGACAUCCACUAUCCCAUAGAAUGUUCUAUGAGCAGUACUUUGAGAAAAAUUGUAUUUGUCA
Nilaparvata lugens (brown planthopper) is the source of this 487-nucleotide long non-coding RNA. RefSeq lists it as uncharacterized. Lineage: Eukaryota; Metazoa; Arthropoda; Insecta; Hemiptera; Delphacidae. The record is from RefSeq and is a predicted model, not a curated record. The transcript is spliced from 3 exons.